GUGUCAGCAGCCGCGGUAAGACGAACCGAGCGAACGUUGUUCGGAAUCACUGGGCUUAAAGGGCGCGUAGGCGGAUUUUCAAGUCCGGGGUGAAAUCCCACAGCUCAACUGUGGAACUGCCUCGGAUACUGGGAGUCUCGAGGGUGGUAGGGGUAUGCGGAACUAUCGGUGGAGCGGUGAAAUGCGUUGAUAUCGAUAGGAACUCCGGUGGCGAAGGCGGCAUACUGGACCACAUCUGACGCUGAGGCGCGAAAGCCAGGGGAGCAAACGGGAUUAGAUACCCCCGUAGUCC
This 292-nucleotide ribosomal RNA is filed under the name uncultured bacterium. RNAcentral describes it as "partial 16S ribosomal RNA". It matches the Rfam family "Bacterial small subunit ribosomal RNA", at positions 505 to 796 of the family's 1533-position model. The record is from RNAcentral.